AAAAUCCGUCGACUUUAAAAUCGUGAGGG
Molecule: transfer RNA, 29 nt
Filed under: Hydrocotyle medicaginoides
Lineage: Eukaryota; Viridiplantae; Streptophyta; Magnoliopsida; Apiales; Araliaceae
Also listed under: 2 other names
Description: partial tRNA-Leu
Source: RNAcentral